CCCUUAGAUGUUCUGGGCCGCACGCGCGCUACACUGAUGCAUUCAACGAGUGUACCUUGGCCGAGAGGCCUGGGCAAUCUUUUGAACGUGCAUCGUGAUAGGGAUAGAUUAUUGCAAUUAUUAAUCUUGAACGAGGAAUUCCUAGUAAACGCAGAUCAUCAAUCUGCAUUGAUUACGUCCCUGCCCUUUGUACACACCGUCCGUCGCACCUACCGAUUGGAUGGUCCGGUGAAGCCUCGGGAUUGUGGCGGUUGCCUUUAUUGGUGGCCGCCGCGAGAACUUGUCUAAACCUUAUCAUCUAGAGGAAGGUGAAGUCGUAACA
This 322-nucleotide ribosomal RNA is filed under the name uncultured eukaryote. RNAcentral's name for it is "partial 18S ribosomal RNA". It matches the Rfam family "Eukaryotic small subunit ribosomal RNA", at positions 1470 to 1796 of the family's 1831-position model. The record is from RNAcentral.